AUGCUCCAGAAUGAAAUGGCUUAUCCACACAGUACCAUGUUUGUGUAGCAGGAGACACGUGUACGCCAACAUCUCAGCAUUGUCAUUUCUUCUGCUCUUCUUCAUAAUCCAUAUGCCUUGGAAACUUCCUUCAUUUGUCUGUGUCUUAAUGCAAUCUGAGAGCUGGUGUUCGGCCAUGAGAGGCCAUCUUUUUCCUCUGCACACCUUCUCAUCAAGGUCGUCCUCACUUUUGAGGUCCUUAACAGCAUGCCACAACCAGGUAAGUUUCAAAUCACCAAUUAAUUUACAUCAUAAUCAUGUUCAUGAUCAUACCCUUCCUUAAUCUGUAACUAAUUAAGGUACCCUUAAGUCAAAAUAGGAUAUAUAACAUUGAUUUCUAACAUGAUUGGGUGAAUCAAUUGGGGCUUAAUUGCUAUAACAUGAGGAUAUUUUUUUUAUACAAGUGAAACUAUUCUAAAUUAGUCUAAUUUGCGGGGAGAGGGACUUGAAAUUGGUGCAAGGACGAGCUCAUUAUCCUGACCAACUGGCCUAAUCCACGUUUGCUAUUUGGAACUUUAAUUCAGAGGUACCAUAGCAGUCAAGUUAGCAAGGGAGAGCACAGCAGCCACAUGAAUAUGGAAGAGAGAGCACCUUCAACAGCUGAGGAGUUCAAAAGAGUUGCUGAGGAGAAGCUGAAGAAGACAGAGCAAGGUGUAGCCAGUCAAACUGCUGACAAGACAUGUGAUGUGACAGAGGAGACUACCUUGGGUGACUCUAGCGUUGACUCUGUCAAGAACAGGUACAAGCAACAUGAACCUGGUGCUGCUGAUUACAGAAGGAGGUCACAUGAUGACUGAAUAAUUUUGAUUCCCUAAUCAAUACUUUAGUUUUGAUUUUCUGAGCAAUAAAAGAAAAUCUGGAUAUCAUAAAGAUUAAGAGCCAAGGGAAGCCAGAUUGUGUAAAUUAUAUAUCCAAGAACUCAACUUCAACUUGGUUGAGGAGUGUUAAUAUAAACCUUCAAUCUUUGAGCUCAUUUAUAUGGUAGCAAGCAAUUGCACUUGUGUACUUGGUAGCUUUAAUUGAAAACUUGAAAUAUAUGUACAUAAAGCUGCUGCUGCUGCUGCUGCUGCUGCUGCUGCUGCUUAUUUGGAUCAUGGUCUGCAACUGCAAUUCAUUAAUAGGGCUGAUACAUGAUCACGUUGUUUUCACCUUUGCAAUAUAAUCAUAAGUUACAUCCUGCGUUGUAACUGAUAGCAUUCAAAGGUUGAUGCAUCAACGUACGUUUGCUCCAAGCAAUUUGAAUUUGACAACCAUUUUUGGAUGCUCUGC
Molecule: long non-coding RNA, 1308 nt
Filed under: Prunus dulcis (almond)
Lineage: Eukaryota; Viridiplantae; Streptophyta; Magnoliopsida; Rosales; Rosaceae
Description: sRNA ncRNA
Source: RNAcentral